UACGUAGGUGGCAAGCGUUGUCCGGAAUUACUGGGUGUAAAGGGAGCGCAGGCGGGAAGCCAAGUCAGCUGUGAAAACUACGGGCUUAACUUGUAGACUGCAGUUGAAACUGGUUUUCUUGAGUGAAGUAGAGGUUGGCGGAAUUCCGAGUGUAGCGGUGAAAUGCGUAGAUACUCGGAGGAACACCGGUGGCGAAGGCGGCCAACUGGGCUUUAACUGACGCUGAGGCUCGAAAGUGUGGGGAGCAAACAGG
RNAcentral lists this ribosomal RNA (253 nucleotides) under uncultured bacterium. RNAcentral's name for it is "partial 16S ribosomal RNA". It matches the Rfam family "Bacterial small subunit ribosomal RNA", at positions 524 to 776 of the family's 1533-position model. The record is from RNAcentral.